This 319-nucleotide unclassified non-coding RNA is filed under the name uncultured fungus. RNAcentral's name for it is "partial contains 5.8S ribosomal RNA and internal transcribed spacer 2". The stretch from base 1 to 133 matches the Rfam family "5.8S ribosomal RNA", at positions 22 to 154 of the family's 154-position model. Lineage: Eukaryota; Fungi. The record is from RNAcentral.
UGGUUCUGGCAUCGAUGAAGAACGCAGCGAAAUGCGAUAAGUAGUGUGAAUUGCAGAAUUCAGUGAAUCAUCGAAUCUUUGAACGCACAUUGCGCCCUUCGGUAUUCCGUUGGGCAUGCCUGUUCGAGCGUCAUUAAAACCUUCAAGCUCAGCUUGGUGUUGGGUGCUUGUCCCCGCCCACGGCGGACUCACCUUAAAUGCAUUGGCGGCCGGUAUGUUGGCUACAGCGCAGUACAACGCGUCUGGCGUCUUGAUAUACUGGUCCUCCAGAAGCCUCUUUUUUAACCUUGACCUCGGAUCAGGUAGGGAUACCCGCUGA